This is a non-coding RNA of Danio rerio (zebrafish), 612 nucleotides long. Lineage: Eukaryota; Metazoa; Chordata; Actinopteri; Cypriniformes; Danionidae. The record is from Ensembl.
ACACUCACCCUCGGUCCAGAACUGAACCUUACUGGAAGAACACAACACAGCAUUAACCAUGAAUAAAUUAUGGAUUUUGUGUUUCGUGGUGCUCAUCAUGAGCAAACCAUUUUCAACUGAGGAGAGUCAGAAGUCAAGUGAAAACACUGUCCCAUCGCCCAGCGCAUCUACUAACUCCAGUGCUGUAGGACUGAGUCCUGUGCCCAAAACACUGUACCUUCUGUUCCCGGCUGCCACCCUGGGCUUCAUCCACAGCAGAUCCUGAACAUUCACCAAAGGCGAGCAUCAAUGUGGGAGUGGCAGAAUAGAUAGUCAUUGACAGACAGAGCACAAAUCUGCAAGACAGAACACAGCACAGCACAGCUCAAAGGAUUUUUAACUAAUGAAAAUAAGAACUCCUCCAAGAAGGAUUGUCUGGUUACGCUCAGUGGCAACUUCUCUUGGAAGAGCCCCUUUCUUCUAUUUGCUUCAUGUGAAUAAAGUUUAGCAGGGUAAACAACUCCACUACUUAAAUCAUGCGUUUGAAAGAUUCUAUUUCUCUAAUGGCAUUAUGUGUAUUAAUGUAAUUGACUGGCAAGUGUGUCUGUAUGCAUGAUUAAACUGCUAAAUGCC